RNAcentral lists this ribosomal RNA (450 nucleotides) under uncultured bacterium. RNAcentral describes it as "bacterial SSU rRNA". It matches the Rfam family "Bacterial small subunit ribosomal RNA", at positions 328 to 793 of the family's 1533-position model. The record is from RNAcentral.
AUCCCAGACUCCUACGGGAGGCAGCAGUGGGGAAUAUUGGGCAAUGGACGCAAGUCUGACCCAGCAACGCCGCGUGAAGGAAGAAGGCUUUCGGGUUGUAAACUUCUUUUAAGGGGGAAGAGCAGAAGACGGUACCCCUUGAAUAAGCCACGGCUAACUACGUGCCAGCAGCCGCGGUAAUACGUAGGGGGCAAGCGUUAUCCGGAUUUACUGGGUGUAAAGGGAGCGUAGACGGCGAUACAAGUCUGAAGUGAAAGCCCGGGGCUCAACCCCGGGACUGCUUUGGAAACUGUGUUGCUGGAGUGCUGGAGAGGCAGGCGGAAUUCCUAGUGUAGCGGUGAAAUGCGUAGAUAUUAGGAGGAACACCAGUGGCGAAGGCGGCCUGCUGGACGACAACUGACGGUGAGGCGCGAAAGCGUGGGGAGCAAACAGGAUUAGAUACCCCUGUAC